This 57-nucleotide transfer RNA is filed under the name Bos taurus (domestic cattle). It matches the Rfam family "tRNA", at positions 8 to 63 of the family's 71-position model. From Rfam's summary of the family: Transfer RNA (tRNA) molecules are approximately 80 nucleotides in length. Their secondary structure includes four short double-helical elements and three loops (D, anti-codon, and T loops). Lineage: Eukaryota; Metazoa; Chordata; Mammalia; Artiodactyla; Bovidae. The record is from Rfam by way of RNAcentral. RNAcentral also lists the same sequence under 2 other names.
UGGCUCAGACAGUAAAGAAUUUGCCUGCAAAGCAAGAGACCCAGGUUUGAUUCCUGG